This 1627-nucleotide long non-coding RNA is filed under the name Cyanistes caeruleus (blue tit). Its description in RNAcentral is "lncRNA (ENSCCEG00000003288.1)". The record is from RNAcentral. Lineage: Eukaryota; Metazoa; Chordata; Aves; Passeriformes; Paridae.
CAAAAUUCCCCGAACACCCCAAAUUCCAGCUGCUCACCGGGCGGGGCAGAGGGGUUGGACCCCUCUGGAUUUGGGGGAUCCCCCCGAUCCCCAAUCCCUGGAAUUUCCUUGCCGGCCCCACCUGGAAAAGGAAGGACACGGGAUGGGGCAGUUUUGGGGUGCGAAAAGGCAAUUUUGGGGUCCCCCAAAACCCCCCCGGACUCACCUGGGGGCAGCGGGGGGAGCUCGAAGCUCAGCUCUUCCUCUUCCUCCUCCUCCUCCAGGGCCCUCAGGGGAUCCCGUUCCUCCAUCCCAGAAAAUUCCCAGCUUUUCUUUCCCUCCAAAAUUCCCAUUCGGGGCGUCCCCCUCUCCCUCUUUUCCCGGCACGGGGCCCUGUUCUCCUUCUUUUCCAGAAUUUUCUUGGAGUUUCCCUUUUCCUUCUUUUCCAAAGUUUCCGUUUUGGGGUUUCCCAUUUUUUCCAUUUUAGGGUUUCCCAUUUUUUCCUCGUUUUCCAUUCUGGGGUUUCCAUUUUUUCCCACAUUUUCUGUUUCUGAGAUCCCUCUUUUCCCCGUUUUUUCCAUUUUAGGGUUUCCCAUUUUUUCCAUUUUGGGGUUUCCCAUUUUUUCCUCGUUUUCCAUUCUGGGGUUUCCAUUUUUUCCCACAUUUUCCAUUUCUGAGAUCCCUCUUCUCCCCACGUUUUCCAUUUUGGGGUUUCCAUUUUUUCCCACAUUUUCCAUUUUUGGGAUCCCUCUUUUCCCCAUUUUUUCCAUUUUAGGGUUUCCCAUUUUUUCUUCUUUUUCCAUUUUAGGGUUUCCCAUUUUUUCCUCGUUUUCCAUUCUGGGGUUUCCAUUUUUUCCCACAUUUUCCAUUUCUGAGAUCCCUCUUCUCCCCACGUUUUCCAUUCUGGGGUUUCUCCUUUUUUCCUUCUUUUCCACAUUUUCCCCCUGCUCGAUCCCACUUUUUUCCGGCUCCUUCCGGGGCCGCCCCCGCCGGGGCCGAGCCUCAAUUCCCGGGGAAUUCCCGGGGGAUUUUUGGGGCCGGACCCUCCGGGCACAGGAAUUUUUCCGGCCGUUUUUGGGGGGAUCUGGGGGGAUUUGGGGCUCCUCGGGGUCGCUGUCGCUGAACGUCACCUGAAAAAAGAGGGGGAAAAAAAAGCCCCAAAAUUUCAUCCCAAAAUUUUUCCUCCACACGGAACUUUCUCCCCCUCCUCCCACCCAAAUUUUCCCCCUGAAAUUUUCUUUCCCAAAAUUUUCCUCCCCUUCCAAACUUUCACUUUCCUCCCGGAACUUCUCCCCUCCGAAGCUUUCCUUUCCCAAAUCCUUUUCCCUUCUUUCCAUUUCCACCCGCUCAAAGCUUUGUCCCCUCCCAAAUUUCCGUCCCCAAAUUUCCCUCCCCAAAAUUUCCCUCCCCAAAUUUCCCUUCCCAAAAUUUCCCUUCCCAAAUUUCCCUCCCCAAAAUUUCCCUUCCCAAAUUUCCAUCCCCAAAACUUUCCUCCCCAAAUUUCCCUUCCCAAUUUUCCAUCCCCAAACUUUUCCCCCCAAACUUCCCCUCCCCAAAUUUCCCUCCCAAAUUUUCCAUCCCCAAACUUUUCCCCCCAAAAUUUCCCUCCCCAAAUUUUCCAUCCCCAAACUUUUCCCCCCAAAAUUUC